RNAcentral lists this ribosomal RNA (301 nucleotides) under uncultured bacterium. RNAcentral describes it as "partial 16S ribosomal RNA". It matches the Rfam family "Bacterial small subunit ribosomal RNA", at positions 509 to 807 of the family's 1533-position model. The record is from RNAcentral.
CAGCCGCCGCGGUAAUACGAAGGGUGUAAGCGUUAAUCGGAAUUACUGGGCGUAAAGCGUGCGUAGGCGGUUUGUUAAGUCUGUUGUGAAAUCCCCGGGCUCAACCUGGGAAUGGCAAUGGAUACUGGCAAGCUAGAGUGUGUCAGAGGAUGGUGGAAUUCCCGGUGUAGCGGUGAAAUGCGUAGAGAUCGGGAGGAACAUCAGUGGCGAAGGCGGCCAUCUGGGACAACACUGACGCUGAGGCACGAAAGCGUGGGGAGCAAACAGGAUUAGAUACCCCCGUAGUCCCUGUCUCUUAUAC